GUUGCUGGUGAAGAGGAGGUUGAAUAGACCUGUUGUCUGUCUGUUUAAUAGUUGCUGGUGAGGAGGAGGUUGAAUAGACCUGUUGUCUGUCUGUUUAAUAGUUGUUGGUGAAGAGGAGGUUGAAUAGACCUGUUGUCUGUCUGUUUAAUAGUUGCUGGUGAGGAGGAGGUUGAAUAGACCUGUUGUCUGUCUGUUUAAUAGUUGCUGGUGAAGAGGAGGUUGAAUAGACCUGUUGUCUGUCUGUUUAAUAGUUGCUGGUGAAGAGGAGGUUGAAUAGACCUGUUGUCUGUCUGUUUAAUAGUUGCUGGUGAAGAGGAGGUUGAAUAGACCUGUUGUCUGUCUGUUUAAUAGUUGCUGGUGAGGAGGAGGUUGAAUAGACCUGUUGUCUGUCUGUUUAAUAGU
Oncorhynchus keta (chum salmon) is the source of this 402-nucleotide long non-coding RNA. RefSeq lists it as uncharacterized. NCBI's taxonomy places the organism in Eukaryota, Metazoa, Chordata, Actinopteri, Salmoniformes, Salmonidae. The record is from RefSeq and is a predicted model, not a curated record. The transcript has 3 exons.